AAGGAUCAUUACAGAGUUCAUGCCCUCACGGGUAGAUCUCCCACCCUUGAAUAUUAUACCUUAGUUGCUUUGGCAGGCCGGGGCAACCCCCGGGGCUUCGGCCUCGGUGCGCCUGCCAGAGGAAACAAACUCUGUUUUUAGUGAUGUCUGAGUACUAUAUAAUAGUUAAAACUUUCAACAACGGAUCUCUUGGUUCUGGCAUCGAUGAAGAACGCAGCGAAAUGCGAUAAGUAAUGUGAAUUGCAGAAUUCAGUGAAUCAUCGAAUCUUUGAACGCACAUUGCGCCCCGUGGUAUUCCGCGGGGCAUGCCUGUUCGAGCGUCAUUUCAACCCAUCAAGCUUCGGCUUGGUCUUGGGGCCUGCGAUUCCGCAGCCUCUAAACCCAGUGGCGGUGCCUCCGAGCUCUGAGCGUAGUAAUUCUUCUCGCUAUAGGGUCUCGGUGGUGUCUUGCCAGCAACCCCCAAUUUUUUACAGGUUGACCUCGGAUCAGGUAGGGAUACCCGCUGAACUUAAGCAUAUCAAUAAGCGGAGGAAAAGAAACCAACAGGGAUUACCUCAGUAACGGCGAGUGAAGCGGUAACAGCUCAAAUUUGAAAUCUGCCGCAAGGCCGAGUUGUAAUUUGUAGAAGAUGCUUUGGGUAUGGCCCCGGUCUAAGUUCGUUGAAACACGACGUCAUAGAGGGUGAGAAUCCCGUAUGUGACUGGGUGCUUUUGCCUAUGUAAAGCUCUUUCGACGAGUCGAGUUGUUUGGGAAUGCAGCUCAAAAUGGGUGGUAUAUUUCAUCUAAAGCUAGAUAUUGGCCAGAGACCGAUAGCGCACAAGUAGAGUGAUCGAAAGAUGAAAAGCACUUUGGAAAGAGAGUUAAACAGUACGUGAAAUUGUUGAAAGGGAAGCGCUUGCAACCAGACUUGCACGCUGUUGAUCAUCCAGGCUUCUGUCUGGUGCACUCGGCAGCGUUCAGGCCAGCAUCGGUUCUGGUGGUGGGAUAAAGGCCUUGGGAAUGUAGCUUCUUUCGGGGAGUGUUAUAGCCCUCGGUGCAAUGCCGCCUAUCGGGACCGAGGACCGCGCUUCGGCUAGGAUGCUGGCGUAAUGGUUGUAAGCGACC
RNAcentral lists this ribosomal RNA (1104 nucleotides) under uncultured Lemonniera. RNAcentral describes it as "eukaryotic LSU rRNA". The stretch from base 476 to 1104 matches the Rfam family "Eukaryotic large subunit ribosomal RNA", at positions 1 to 649 of the family's 3401-position model. Lineage: Eukaryota; Fungi; Ascomycota. The record is from RNAcentral.